GACGAACGCUGGCGGCGUGCUUAACACAUGCAAGUCGAACGGAAAGGCCCUGCUUUUGUGGGGUGCUCGAGUGGCGAACGGGUGAGUAACACGUGAGUAACCUGCCCUUGACUUUGGGAUAACUUCAGGAAACUGGGGCUCAUACCGGAUAGGAGCUCCUGCUGCAUGGUGGGGGUUGGAAAGUUUCGGCGGUUGGGGAUGGACUCGCGGCUUAUCAGCUUGUUGGUGAGGUAGUGGCUUACCAAGGCUUUGACGGGUAGCCGGCCUGAGAGGGUGACCGGCCACAUUGGGACUGAGAUACGGCCCAGACUCCUACGGGAGGCAGCAGUGGGGAAUAUUGCACAAUGGGCGGAAGCCUGAUGCAGCAACGCCGCGUGCGGGAUGACGGCCUUCGGGUUGUAAACCGCUUUCGCCUGUGACGAAGCGUGAGUGACGGUAAUGGGUAAAGAAGCACCGGCUAACUACGUG
RNAcentral lists this ribosomal RNA (468 nucleotides) under uncultured bacterium. RNAcentral's name for it is "partial 16S ribosomal RNA". It matches the Rfam family "Bacterial small subunit ribosomal RNA", at positions 28 to 507 of the family's 1533-position model. The record is from RNAcentral.